This 19-nucleotide small RNA is filed under the name Arabidopsis thaliana (thale cress). Its description in RNAcentral is "ATSL191400". The record is from RNAcentral. Lineage: Eukaryota; Viridiplantae; Streptophyta; Magnoliopsida; Brassicales; Brassicaceae.
CUCCUCCCCUGCUUUGCUC